GAGCCAGCUCAGCCCAGCGGUUCCAUCAACCAAUGCAUUGCUUAGAUCCCCUAAUUGCUUCCAGUGGUUUGAGACCCACGGACGCUGCCUGGCUUUUUU
This 99-nucleotide vault RNA is filed under the name Podarcis muralis (Common wall lizard). Its description in RNAcentral is "Vault RNA (ENSPMRG00000003765.1)". It matches the Rfam family "Vault RNA". Rfam says of the family: This family of RNAs are found as part of the enigmatic vault ribonucleoprotein complex. The complex consists of a major vault protein (MVP), two minor vault proteins (VPARP and TEP1), and several small untranslated RNA molecules. It has been suggested that the vault complex is involved in drug resistance. Lineage: Eukaryota; Metazoa; Chordata; Lepidosauria; Squamata; Lacertidae. The record is from Rfam by way of RNAcentral.